Molecule: ribosomal RNA, 496 nt
Filed under: uncultured bacterium
Lineage: Bacteria
Description: partial 16S ribosomal RNA
Rfam family: Bacterial small subunit ribosomal RNA
Source: RNAcentral
AUGAACGCUGGCGGCGUGCCUAAUACCUGCAAGUCGAGCGAACAGACGAGGAGCUUGCUCCUCUGACGUUAGCGGCGGACGGGUGAGUAACACGUGGAUAACCUACCUAUAAGACUGGGAUAACUUCGGGAAACCGGAGCUAAUACCGGAUAAUAUAUUGAACCGCAUGGUUCCAUAGUGAAAGACGGUUUUGCUGUCACUUAUAGAUGGAUCCGCGCCGCAUUAGCUAGUUGGUAAGGUAACGGCUUACCAAGGCAACGAUGCGUAGCCGACCUGAGAGGGUGAUCGGCCACACUGGAACUGAGACACGGUCCAGACUCCUACGGGAGGCAGCAGUAGGGAAUCUUCCGCAAUGGGCGAAAGCCUGACGGAGCAACGCCGCGUGAGUGAUGAAGGUCUUCGGAUCGUAAAACUCUGUUAUUAGGGAAGAGCAAAUGUGUAAGUAACUAUGCACGUCUUGACGGUACCUAAUCAGAAAGCCACGGCUAACUACGUG